Non-coding RNA from Nematostella vectensis (starlet sea anemone), 117 nucleotides. Lineage: Eukaryota; Metazoa; Cnidaria; Anthozoa; Actiniaria; Edwardsiidae. The record is from Rfam.
GUCAGGAUGGCCGAGCCGUCUAAGGCGCCAGACUCAAGGUUCAAUUCAUUCUCGUCAUGAAUGGGAGAGUAUUCUGGUCUCCGGAUGAAGGCGUGGGUUCGAAUCCCACUUCUGACA